This 117-nucleotide ribosomal RNA is filed under the name Candidatus Omnitrophota bacterium. The record is from RNAcentral. Lineage: Bacteria; Pseudomonadati; Candidatus Omnitrophota.
CCUGGUGGUUACAGCGAAGGGGCCACACCCGUUCCCAUUCCGAAUACGGUAGUUAAGCCCUUCUGCGCCGAUGGUACUACUCCGGCAACGGAGCGGGAGAGUAGGUCGCCGCCGGGA